GCUGGGUGUGGUGGAGUGUGCCUACAGUCUCAGUUACUCAGGAGGUUGAGGCUGGAGGAUCGCUUGAGUCCAGGAGUUCUGGGCUGUAAUGCACUAUGCCAAUCGGGUGCCCACACUAAGUUCAGCAUCAAUAUGGUUACCUCCUGGGAGCGGGAGACCACCAGGUUGCCUAAGGAGGGAUGAACCAGCCCAGGUCGGAAACAGAGCAGGUCAAAACUCCCGUGCUGAUCAGUAGUGGGAUCACACCUGUGAAUAGCCACUGCACUUCAGCCUGGGCGACAUAGGGAGGCCUCGUUUCU
Molecule: signal recognition particle RNA, 299 nt
Filed under: Cebus imitator (Panamanian white-faced capuchin)
Lineage: Eukaryota; Metazoa; Chordata; Mammalia; Primates; Cebidae
Description: Metazoan signal recognition particle RNA (ENSCCAG00000005841.1)
Rfam family: Metazoan signal recognition particle RNA
About the family: The signal recognition particle (SRP) is a universally conserved ribonucleoprotein. It is involved in the co-translational targeting of proteins to membranes.
Source: RNAcentral